This is a long non-coding RNA of Trifolium pratense (red clover), 1372 nucleotides long. RefSeq lists it as uncharacterized. The transcript is spliced from 5 exons. The record is from RefSeq and is a predicted model, not a curated record. Lineage: Eukaryota; Viridiplantae; Streptophyta; Magnoliopsida; Fabales; Fabaceae.
CCAAAAAUUUUCACUUCAGUUUCCCACUUUUAUUUAAUUCUCACACUGCAAUAAUAUGAAUUAAUUAUAUUUUCUUUAUCAAUUCCCCAAAUAUAUGAAGUGACAAAAAAAAAAUCCAAGACACAAAAAUGGAAAUUGAGAUCUAUUCCUAAUCCCUCCGCCGUCGAAGAAGCAUUUGGCGCAACUCUCCUUCAAACUCUCGUUGUCGUCGAAGAACAACUCUCCUUCAAUCUCUUGUCGCGCAUCUCUCCUCUCCGUUGCCGUUGAAAAAAACUAAACUGAAACCCUAAAAUUGUGCCUCUCUUCCUUCUCCCAGCGACUCAAUCUUCUUCUUCUUCUCUGCCGGGAGUCUAUUUGCCACUUUCGUCUAUUCACCGGUCACAAUCUUUAUUCUAUUUUAGUAACUAUUAAAUUCCUCAUCCUCUUUCAGGAAACCACCUACCGCCACCCACCGUCGAGCACCACCCGCCAUAAAGAGAUGUCGUGACGUGAUAUGACGGAGACCGAAUUUGUGGUAGCACUAGGUUCACAGGUCUUUGGUUCUGGGACUCUGUUCCCCUCUUUCUCCGUUUCAACUCUUUUCGGAUAUCUUUCACAGUCCUAGCUUCCUUGUCAUAAUUUGAGGGAGUUAAUCAGGGUUGGUCCUAUUUGUUCAAAUGUUUAUCUAUAAUUCAAAGCAAAACAACAAUGCCUUUCCAGAAUGCUGGUUUUAGGUGCAGACGGAAUCCUGGUGUUUUUAAAGUCAUUAUUUCAAAACAACAAUGCCUAUUAUGAUUACUCCUACAACCUUGCAGAAGUUGGCUUACCCUGAAGAAGAAUAUGCCACUGCUAGAGCAGCAUCAACAGCUGACGCCAUCAUGGUUUGAUUUGCAUCAAAUAUCUUGUGUGACCUCAUCUCUCUCGCUUUCCGUCUUUUCUAAUGAACACACAUGUUGUAUUCAGUGUUCAGCUCAUUUGUGAUCUCUAUGGAAGGAAAUGCUUCAGAAACACUUUACAAGUUGUUAAUGAUGAUAUGGAAGUGCAACUUGUAAAAGGGAUGCUUAGUAAGUUAUCCAGACAUGUAGUAAUCAACACUAUGCAAACGCCGUCGUCACGAGAGAAUUUAUGUUUGCCACAAUUUUGUCUUACAAAUUAUGUUUGGUUUUGAUAGUUUUAUGGUGUAGACUUUACUUUCGAUUUGUUAGACAUAUACUUGGUUUUUUUUCUUAGUGUUGUUGUAUGACAUAAUGGUUGUCACUUUUAAGAUUCCCAAAAUUCAGUUUCACACUACGUUUAAUUUGUUUGUGGGUUGAGAUAUUGUGUUUGUCACUUUGUAUAUAUAUGACUAUGACUAUUGUUUUAUGGAUCUUUGUGGUGGGAGAGAAUUUUACUA